RNAcentral lists this long non-coding RNA (250 nucleotides) under Pan troglodytes (chimpanzee). RNAcentral describes it as "lncRNA (ENSPTRG00000053368.1)". The record is from RNAcentral. Lineage: Eukaryota; Metazoa; Chordata; Mammalia; Primates; Hominidae.
UGGGGAGGAUGGGGCUGGAACCUCUCCCUCCCUCCCUCCUGAGUAACCCUGACCUUUGGCACUUUUCCCAGUGAGCUGCUGUUGACGGAGGCAAGUUGGAUGUCGGGAAUGCUGAGGUGAAGUUGGAGGAAGAGAACAGGAGCCUGAAGGCUGAGCUGCGGAAGCUAAAGGACGAGCUGGCCAGCACUAAGCAAAAACUAGAGAAAGCUGAAAACCAGGUUCUGGCCAUGCGGAAGCAGUCUGAGGGCCU